This 687-nucleotide small RNA is filed under the name Pan troglodytes (chimpanzee). RNAcentral describes it as "retained intron". The record is from RNAcentral. Lineage: Eukaryota; Metazoa; Chordata; Mammalia; Primates; Hominidae.
AAGAUAGCUGUGGGAGAAGAUAAAAAGGCCAGUUUACUGGUCUGGCUGCGUGGAUACAGAGUCAUUCAACCUGCUAAUGAAUAUAUUUCAAUCAAGGUCCUGGAAUCUGACCAUUCUGAUUAGCCACUCCUGAUGGUGUAGGAAAGGAAAGAAUUUCAGCUUCAGAAGGAAAGCUACAGUUUUUUUUUGUUUUUCUUCCACAUACUCACUCACUCACCCUCACGCCCAACUAAACUAUGAAAGUUCCUGGGGAAAAGUGAUAGAGAACAUAAAAUGAGAGCUCUGGUUACCAUUCUAUUUCUAAACAUUCAUUGCACUCUUUAUUAUUUUAAUACAAAUCCUGUUUUCUCUUUGCUUUACUCACAAACCUGUGUUUUACUCCACUUGAAUAUUGUGAUUUAAUACCUAUUAAAAGAGAAUUACUGUGGUCGCCCCUCAACUUUUUUGCACUUAUCUCUUUUAUAAUUUCUUACUUUGUUGCAGAGACAAGAAAGAUUUGCUGAUAGAUCACUGUUGGAAAUGGAAAAAAGGGAACGAAGAGCUCUAGAAAGAAGAAUAUCUGAAAUGGAAGAAGAGCUCAAAAUGUUACCAGACCUAAAAGCAGACAACCAGAGGCUAAAGGAUGAAAAUGGGGCCUUGAUCAGAGUUAUAAGCAAACUUUCCAAAUAAAAAAAAAGAAAAAAAAAA